CAUCACCAGAGGGUUGUCCAUCACCCCAGGAUUCUUGGUCUCAUUGGGGAUGAUGCAGCGCACAAAGUGGGGCACCUGAAUCCUUCUUUGAAGAGGACCCAGCUGCAGCAAUGCUGGCAAAGUACUGGAUGACUCUCUUGGUGUUGACAGUCUUCCCAGCACCAGAUUCUCCACUGAGGCAAGGGGGGUUGCAGGCUGGGAAUGAGUGCAGCCAGACAACACAGACAGACUCCUGAGGGCCUGUAGGAGGAGAAGACAGCCAGCCUGAGAGGGAGAGUAUUCCAGGAUGACCAGCCCACUGGAAGGCCAGCAGAGAGGGC
This is a long non-coding RNA of Engraulis encrasicolus (European anchovy), 320 nucleotides long. RefSeq lists it as uncharacterized. Lineage: Eukaryota; Metazoa; Chordata; Actinopteri; Clupeiformes; Engraulidae. The transcript is spliced from 3 exons. The record is from RefSeq and is a predicted model, not a curated record.